Molecule: ribosomal RNA, 578 nt
Filed under: Pantoea sp. N2.45
Lineage: Bacteria; Pseudomonadati; Pseudomonadota; Gammaproteobacteria; Enterobacterales; Erwiniaceae
Description: bacterial SSU rRNA
Rfam family: Bacterial small subunit ribosomal RNA
Source: RNAcentral
GGCGUGGCUUCCGGAGCUAACGCGUUAAGUCGACCGCCUGGGGAGUACGGCCGCAAGGUUAAAACUCAAAUGAAUUGACGGGGGCCCGCACAAGCGGUGGAGCAUGUGGUUUAAUUCGAUGCAACGCGAAGAACCUUACCUACUCUUGACAUCCAGAGAACUUUCCAGAGAUGGAUUGGUGCCUUCGGGAACUCUGAGACAGGUGCUGCAUGGCUGUCGUCAGCUCGUGUUGUGAAAUGUUGGGUUAAGUCCCGCAACGAGCGCAACCCUUAUCCUUUGUUGCCAGCGGUUCGGCCGGGAACUCAAAGGAGACUGCCAGUGAUAAACUGGAGGAAGGUGGGGAUGACGUCAAGUCAUCAUGGCCCUUACGAGUAGGGCUACACACGUGCUACAAUGGCGCAUACAAAGAGAAGCGACCUCGCGAGAGCAAGCGGACCUCAUAAAGUGCGUCGUAGUCCGGAUUGGAGUCUGCAACUCGACUCCAUGAAGUCGGAAUCGCUAGUAAUCGUAGAUCAGAAUGCUACGGUGAAUACGUUCCCGGGCCUUGUACACACCGCCCGUCACACCAUGGGAGUGGG